RNAcentral lists this ribosomal RNA (447 nucleotides) under uncultured bacterium. RNAcentral's name for it is "partial 16S ribosomal RNA". It matches the Rfam family "Bacterial small subunit ribosomal RNA", at positions 29 to 523 of the family's 1533-position model. The record is from RNAcentral.
AACGAACGCUGGCGGCAGGCUUAACACAUGCAAGUCGAGCGCCCCGCAAGGGGAGCGGCAGACGGGUGAGUAACGCGUGGGAAUCUACCGUACCCUACGGAAUAGCUCCGGGAAACUGGAAUUAAUACCGUAUACGCUCUACGGGGGAAAGAUUUAACGGGGUAUGAUGAGCCCGCGUUGGAUUAGCUAGUUGGUGGGGUAAAGGCCUACCAAGGCGACGAUCCAUAGCUGGUCUGAGAGGAUGAUCAGCCACAUUGGGACUGAGACACGGCCCAAACUCCUACGGGAGGCAGCAGUGGGGAAUAUUGGACAAGGGGCGCAAGCCUGAUCCAGCAAUGCCGCGUGAGUGAUGAAGGUCUUAGGAUUGUAAAGCUCUUUCACCGAUGAAGAUAAUGACGGCAGUCGGAGAAGAAGCCGCGGCUAACUUCGUGCCAGCCGCCGCGGUAA